UAGCGAGCUAGCUAGCCACCUAGCAUGUAAGUGUUUACUUACUGCUGUGGGACCAGCGGACCAGCAGCAGGAUCAGGACUGCUGCUGCUGAUGGAAGGGACUUUGUCGGGGUCAGCCGCAUUGUUGAACUGCGGAGUGUGAGCCAAGCUUCUGAAACUUUCUCCCGUACACCCCUCUCUGUCUCUCAGCCGCCCCCCUUAAGUCCUUCAAUGUCACUGCUGUCUGCACCGAGUCGUGGCUAACCUCGCACCGAGUCACUGCAGGUAUUUCUCAGGGUUCUGCAUGGUGCUGUUGAGGCGCUCCAGUGCCUUCUGCAGGGCCUCAGUCUUAAUGUAGGUGAUGGAGGACGAGUUGGCAGAGAUCUGGAUUUCUGUAGGAGUAACGUUCAGCUGCACCAUCAGCCGAUCGGGGUAACACAGCAUGAGCGAGUCCAGCUUCGCCACAGAGACACCGUCCAGAAAGACUUGCAGCAAUCGACAGAGGGACGGUGUUGUUUUGGACGAGAGCGAAGAGAAUGCCUGUGCUGCUGGAUGGACCUCUCCUCUGUUAACCAACUGGGGCCUUGCUUUUUGGAAUUCCAUGUUCCUUCUGUCCACGUGUUUCCUCCAGAUGCUUCACUUUCCUCCCACCCUAAAACACAUGCAUGUCUGCUAACAGUCCUGCUGCUGCUGCUCAAAGCCAUGCACAAAGCUGCUAUGGCUGCUCAUUGUUCAUAAAGUUAAGUAAGGAUCAAAUGCAGAGCCCGUUUUCCCAUAUAUGUAUGUAUGAAGUGUAACUUACUCACUGUAGUCAAUGUCGAAGUGUGCCAGUCCUGCCCCGGAGAAGAAAGAGCCUUGCUCCACAUACACAAAGCAAUGUUUACUCCUCUUCUCCUGGAUGACCUCCUUUACCCCGGACGCCCCCUGGUUCAUUAAGUUCCAGCCCCGGAUGCAACCAUCGAGGCGGGGAUUGAUCUUAUGGAUGAAUAGAGACACAACACAGGAUUUGAGCUGGGCCAAUGUUAAACCCUAUGUGUUGUUAGUUAUUACAUGUGUUCAGAGAGGAAUUGUAUCUGUGUGUGCAUGCUCACAGGUUUGAUGACGUUGUUGGUGCGGUUUGGCAGACCAGCAAUGUACACCUUGGUUUCUAGUUUGCCGUUCACUGAAGUAAAAAGACUGUCAGGGCUAUUGAUGCUCAUCACAGCUUCCUUACUGAUCUUCACACUGAUGCUGUUCUCCAGUUCAUCCACAGAGAUCUGCACGUUACACAUACAGCAACCAAUUUAGCAUCAGAAGACACGGUGACAGCAACAAAAAUAUGUCCGUUACUUAAGUUUGAUUAUCACUGAUGCUACUUCUUUCUCACCACAUGCCACUGCCCGUCAUUGAUGAGUUUUCCUCCACUGGUGACCUUGAAUGUGUGCUGGUUUUUGAACUGGACCUCGAUGCGACCUCCUCUCAGCCCCAGCAUGAACCAUGAGUCCUGGGACGACUCAGCGUACAGCACAACUCCUUCUGGAUCAAACGUGCGGAAGUCAAACUCUGCUGCAAACCUGAGGACCAGAAACAGAAAUACAAAUGUACGGAAGCGCAGAAAGAUGACCGGAAGUCCAGCAAAUUGCUCCCCCAGGUAGAGCAUCUCAGGGUGUUUGUAGUCGUACAGCUCCACACAGACCGG
This is a long non-coding RNA of Notolabrus celidotus (New Zealand spotty), 1656 nucleotides long. RefSeq lists it as uncharacterized. The transcript is spliced from 5 exons. Lineage: Eukaryota; Metazoa; Chordata; Actinopteri; Labriformes; Labridae. The record is from RefSeq and is a predicted model, not a curated record.